GGGGAAUAUUGGGCAAUGGACGCAAGUCUGACCCAGCAACGCCGCGUGAAGGAAGAAGGCUUUCGGGUUGUAAACUUCUUUUAAGGGGGAAGAGUAGAAGACGGUACCCCUUGAAUAAGCCACGGCUAACUACGUGCCAGCAGCCGCGGUAAUACGGAGGGUGCAAGCGUUACUCGGAAUCACUGGGCGUAAAGAGCACGUAGGCGGCCUUGCAAGUCAGAUGUGAAAUCCAACGGCUUAACCGUUGAACUGCAUUUGAAACUGCAAGGCUAGAGUAUGGGAGAGGUAGGUGGAAUUCUCGGUGUAGGGGUAAAAUCCGUAGAGAUCGAGAGGAAUACUCAUUGCGAAGGCGACCUGCUGGAACAUUACUGACGCUGAGGUGCGAAAGCGUGGGGAGCAAACA
RNAcentral lists this ribosomal RNA (403 nucleotides) under uncultured Wolinella sp. RNAcentral describes it as "bacterial SSU rRNA". It matches the Rfam family "Bacterial small subunit ribosomal RNA", at positions 356 to 774 of the family's 1533-position model. Lineage: Bacteria; Pseudomonadati; Campylobacterota; Epsilonproteobacteria; Campylobacterales; Helicobacteraceae. The record is from RNAcentral.